Molecule: long non-coding RNA, 565 nt
Organism: Hyla sarda
Lineage: Eukaryota; Metazoa; Chordata; Amphibia; Anura; Hylidae
Exons: 4
Source: RefSeq, a predicted model, not a curated record
UACUGCGUGAGUCGCGAGGUAAACACAAAGCUGGAACGAGGCAGUCCGGAUGAGCCCAUGCUGGAAGACGCCAUUUUGAUGCUGAAUUGAGGGACCACCGGCAGUAAGUACCUGCAAUGAUCACACAGAGAGAGAAGUCAGAUCAUGGAGGGGGAGUGGGGCCGACCACUGGGGCCCCCUGCAAUCUCCUGUAUGAACCUAUGGCUCUCCCUGUGAGCGGAGCACCAUAACCCCCACCUGAAUAAAGAAGGAACUGUAUUGCAAAAACGUGGUGUGAACCCAGCCUAAGUGACGUUUCAGUCAACAAAGACCUUCCUCAGACCGGAUUUCUGCGGAGGAAAAUGGAGUCAAGGCAAAGGAAACUGCGCUCUCUUUCCAGGCGGUGGUUUGCCGGUUGCGGUGCAGAUAUCUGGAAGAUUAUUUAAACAUAUGUUCCCGGCGUCCUUAGAGACCGGCUCCUCGGGACAGCGCAGUCCAUUCGUCAGCAUCAGAGUUUAUGGAUUUUGAUUACAGAGGCCUAGGCUGCGGCAGAGGAAUUUUUGUUACCGGGGAUAGAUAUUUACGG